GUCCACACCGUAAACGGUGGGCACUAGGUGUUGGGGACCUUGUCCCUUCAGCGCCGCAGCUAACGCAUUAAGUGCCCCGCCUGGGGAGUACGGUCGCAAGAUUAAAACUCAAAGAAAUUGACGGGGCCCGCACAAGCGGUGGAGUAUGUGGUUUAAUUCGAGGCAACGCGAAAACCUUACCUAGGCUUGACAUCCCCGCGCUACCCCAGAGAAAUUUGGGGUUCCCUUCGGGGACGCGGUGACAGGUGCUGCAUGGCUGUCGU
RNAcentral lists this ribosomal RNA (263 nucleotides) under uncultured bacterium. RNAcentral's name for it is "partial 16S ribosomal RNA". It matches the Rfam family "Bacterial small subunit ribosomal RNA", at positions 793 to 1055 of the family's 1533-position model. The record is from RNAcentral.